Molecule: ribosomal RNA, 465 nt
Filed under: uncultured bacterium
Lineage: Bacteria
Description: partial 16S ribosomal RNA
Rfam family: Bacterial small subunit ribosomal RNA
Source: RNAcentral
CCUACGGGGGGCAGCAGUGGGGAAUAUUGCGCAAUGGGCGAAAGCCUGACGCAGCGACGCCGCGUGAGGGAUGAAGGUCUUCGGAUCGUAAACCUCUGUCAGCAGGGAAGAACGGUCACUGUGCUAAUCAGCAGUGAAUUGACGGUACCUGCAAAGGAAGCACCGGCUAACUCCGUGCCAGCAGCCGCGGUAAUACGGAGGGUGCGAGCGUUAAUCGGAAUUACUGGGCGUAAAGCGCGCGUAGGCGGUAGGUCAAGUCAAGGGUGAAAUCCCCGGGCUCAACGUGGGAACUGCCUUUGAAACUGGCAAACUGGAGUGUGGGAGAGGAUGGUGGAAUUCCAGGUGUAGGAGUGAAAUCCGUAGAUAUCUGGAGGAACAUCAGUGGCGAAGGCGACUAUCUGGAACAUAACUGACGCUGAGGAGCGAAAGCGUGGGUAGCAAACAGGAUUAGAUACCCGAGUAGUC